RNAcentral lists this ribosomal RNA (373 nucleotides) under uncultured organism. RNAcentral's name for it is "partial 16S ribosomal RNA". It matches the Rfam family "Bacterial small subunit ribosomal RNA", at positions 527 to 896 of the family's 1533-position model. The record is from RNAcentral.
GUAGGUGGCAAGCGUUGUCCGGAAUUAUUGGGCGUAAAGCGCGCGCAGGCGGUCCUUUAAGUCUGAUGUGAAAGCCCACGGCUCAACCGUGGAGGGUCAUUGGAAACUGGGGGACUUGAGUACAGAAGAGGAAAGCGGAAUUCCAAGUGUAGCGGUGAAAUGCGUAGAGAUUUGGAGGAACACCAGUGGCGAAGGCGGCUUCCUGGUCUGUAGCUGACGCUGAGGCGCGAAAGCGUGGGGAGCAAACAGGGAUUAGAUACCCUGGUAGUCCACGCCGUAAACGAUGAGUGCUAAGUGUUAGGGGGUUUCCCGCCCCUUAGUGCUGCAGCUAACGCAUUAAGCGCUCCGCCUGGGGAGUACGGCCGCAAGGCUG